AGAGCGAACGCUGGCGGCAGGCCUAACACAUGCAAGUCGAGCGCCCCGCAAGGGGAGCGGCAGACGGGAGAGUAACACGUGGGAACGUACCCUUUGGUUCGGAACAACACAGGGAAACUUGUGCUAAUACCGGAUAAGCCCUUACGGGGAAAGAUUUAUCGCCAAAGGAUCGGCCCGCGUCUGAUUAGCUUGUUGGUGAGGUAACGGCUCACCAAGGCUACGAUCAGUAGCUGGUCUGAGAGGAUGAUCAGCCUCACUGGGACUGAGACACGGCCCAGACUCCUACGGGAGGCAGCAGUGGGGAAUAUUGGACAAUGGGCGCAAGCCUGAUCCAGCCAUGCCGCGUGGAUGAUGAAGGCCUUAGGGUUGUAAAGUCCUUUUAACGGGGAAGAUAAUGACGGUACCGUAGAAUAAGCCCCGGCUAACUUCGUGCCAGCAGCCGC
This 443-nucleotide ribosomal RNA is filed under the name uncultured bacterium. Its description in RNAcentral is "SSU rRNA". It matches the Rfam family "Bacterial small subunit ribosomal RNA", at positions 26 to 518 of the family's 1533-position model. The record is from RNAcentral.